Molecule: long non-coding RNA, 535 nt
Organism: Eurytemora carolleeae
Lineage: Eukaryota; Metazoa; Arthropoda; Copepoda; Calanoida; Temoridae
Exons: 2
Source: RefSeq, a predicted model, not a curated record
AGAAGCAUGAUGUUGAGAAAGCUUUAAAGGAUCUUCUUGGAAUUGAAGAAGAACUUAACCAGGCUGUCUCUAGAGCGGAGAGUCUUCUUAGAAAUACUGAAUGAAGUCUUGCUGUCAACAAUACUUAAAGAUACGAUUUGAUCUCGCAAAAUAUUUGUAUUUAAAGAAGUAUAUGGGUUCAUCUUGGAUUGAUCGGGUGAACAUUUUAAAUUCAGAAAAAUGCCACUUGACAAAAUUUUGAAACGUAAAACAAAGCUUUCUCCAUCAUUUUGCUUACCGGUUAAAAUCGGGCUUGUGACUCAUAAAAUGUUGGGUCACAUGAAAUUAGGAGCCACUUGGUGUUUAAGAUGAUUGUUUCAAAUUGUAUUCUAUUUUAUUAAUACCCUUUCCUACGAAGUUACCUGUAUUUUUGUAUUAGUAUAUGUAUAAUAAUUGAUAUUAAUAUCAUGUUUAGCUGAAGUGCAAAAUUGAUAAUUAAUCAAGCUGAUUGAAAAAAUGCUCUUUUGAAAGAUUUAAAAAAAAAUAACAUUUCAGA